This 369-nucleotide ribosomal RNA is filed under the name uncultured organism. RNAcentral's name for it is "bacterial SSU rRNA". It matches the Rfam family "Bacterial small subunit ribosomal RNA", at positions 526 to 896 of the family's 1533-position model. The record is from RNAcentral.
CGUAGGUGGCAAGCGUUGUCCGGAUUUAUUGGGUUUAAAGGGUGCGUAGGCGGCCCUGUAAGUCAGUGCUGAAAUAUCCCGGCUUAACCGGGAGGGUGGCAUUGAUACUGCAGGGCUUGAGUAAAGUUGAGGUUGGCGGAAUUGACGGUGUAGCGGUGAAAUGCUUAGAUAUCGUCAAGAACACCGAUAGUGUAGACAGCUAACUAAGCUUUAACUGACGCUGAGGCACGAAAGUGUGGGGAUCAAACAGGAUUAGAUACCCUGGUAGUCCACACUGUAAACGUUGAUGACUCGCUGUUGGCGAUAUACAGUCAGCGGCUUAGAGAAAUCGUUAAGUCAUCCACCUGGGGGAGUACGCCGGCAACGGUG